This 253-nucleotide ribosomal RNA is filed under the name uncultured bacterium. RNAcentral's name for it is "partial 16S ribosomal RNA". It matches the Rfam family "Bacterial small subunit ribosomal RNA", at positions 524 to 776 of the family's 1533-position model. The record is from RNAcentral.
GACAGAGGGUGCAAACGUUGUUCGGAAUUACUGGGCGUAAAGCGUGUGUAGGCGGUUAUUCAGGUCGGAUGUGAAAGCCCCAGGCUUAACCUGGGAAGUGCACCCGAAACCGGAUGACUUGAGUAUCGGAGAGGUUGGUAGAAUUCUCGGUGUAGAGGUGAAAUUCGUAGAUAUCGAGAGGAAUACCGGCGGCGAAGGCGGCCAACUGGACGAAUACUGACGCUGAGACACGAAAGCGUGGGGAGCAAACAGG